This is a small nucleolar RNA of Liolophura sinensis, 75 nucleotides long. RefSeq annotates it as small nucleolar RNA SNORD47. The transcript has a single exon. The record is from RefSeq and is a predicted model, not a curated record. NCBI's taxonomy places the organism in Eukaryota, Metazoa, Mollusca, Polyplacophora, Chitonida, Chitonidae.
GUGCAAUGAUGUUAACAUUCUGCCAAAUGAUGUCAUGUGAUAUCAAAACUUACCGUUCCAAACUUUUCUGAGCAC